This is an RNA transcript of Manihot esculenta (cassava), 959 nucleotides long. It is a transcript of the gene named protein NONRESPONDING TO OXYLIPINS 2, mitochondrial, with no coding region annotated. The transcript is spliced from 5 exons. The record is from RefSeq and is a predicted model, not a curated record. Lineage: Eukaryota; Viridiplantae; Streptophyta; Magnoliopsida; Malpighiales; Euphorbiaceae.
UACGAACCCAUGAAAGCCCAGCCCUACCAAAACCUCCUCCGUGCAACUUUGCCUCCGAAAUCGAAAUCUGCAACCAAACCCUAAACCCUCACUUCUAGUUCCGGAUCUGCUUCCCUUCUUUCCUCAUCUCCGAUCAGCAUGGCCGCUUCUUGUUACAGAUUCAUGUGCAGAUCAUCCAUAUCGUCGAUCAAAUCAGCCAUCAGAUCCAACGCUUCAAAAUCUCCGAUCGCCAGACCUCCCAUUUCUCCCUCUUCUUCUCCUCAUUCCCCAUCCUCUUCCCUUCGCCGCUUCUCUUUCUCUUAUAGGACUCCAUCUGAGCUUGGAUGCGUGCAGUCGCUCUUGCCGCUUCACAGCGCGGUGGCGACGUCAAGGAUGAUGUCAUGCUUGAGCACUACAUCGAGGAGUUGCCGAGCGCUCUCACAGGGUACACUCUGCUGCACUUCUCCCGGCCUCUAAUAAUUUAUCACUACUCUGUUUUAGAGUGCACAUAAUUUGAAAAGAAAUAAACUGGGGACUGUCAAUUAUGGCCCACUGCAUCUUUAUCAAAUGGAGUUGACGGCAGGUAACAUGUGUAUUGUUUUUUGGAGAGAUUGGUCUAUCAGUUCCAAGGUGACCUGUUACGAGGAAUUCAUUUUGGUGGGUGAUUUCAUCGGCAUGAUCGAAGCAGCAAAGCCUUGUAGCUUUUCAAUUGGAAGACUUUUGUCAGUUUAUCAAAUGCUGCUGAACCUUUAAAGCAGUGAGUGAAGGUGAUUUUGAUUCUUCAUGACGGAUAGAACCUAUCUUCUGAGAUGGAGCGAUUAAUUGCAAUUGCUUAAUAGUGUCUUUUAUGUUUUUUUGUUUUUAUUUUACUUUUGUUUGUACUUGUUCUCUUUCCCUCUUAGAUUAAAAUUUGUUCGUAGUUAUUGAUAAAGUAAACUUUACUUCAUAAAAUAGAAAGUUAGCGUAAGAAUUUCCUUGCU